This 253-nucleotide ribosomal RNA is filed under the name uncultured bacterium. RNAcentral's name for it is "partial 16S ribosomal RNA". It matches the Rfam family "Bacterial small subunit ribosomal RNA", at positions 524 to 776 of the family's 1533-position model. The record is from RNAcentral.
UACGUAGGGUGCGAGCGUUGUCCGGAAUUAUUGGGCGUAAAGAGCUUGUGGGCGGUCUGUCGCGUCUGCUGUGAAAAUCCGGGGCUCAACCCCGGACUUGCAGUGGGUACGGGCAGACUAGAGUGUGGUAGGGGAGACUGGAAUUCCUGGUGUAGCGGUGAAAUGCGCAGAUAUCAGGAGGAACACCGAUGGCGAAGGCAGGUCUCUGGGCCACUACUGACGCUGAGAAGCGAAAGCAUGGGGAGCGAACAGG